This 115-nucleotide small nucleolar RNA is filed under the name Echinops telfairi (small Madagascar hedgehog). RNAcentral's name for it is "Small nucleolar RNA SNORA61 (ENSETEG00000024972.1)". Lineage: Eukaryota; Metazoa; Chordata; Mammalia; Afrosoricida; Tenrecidae. The record is from RNAcentral.
CCCCUUCGGAUUCCUUGUCCCUCAGAUCUAAAUAUUGGUCUGAGUGGCUAAAAAAGAAGUAAAACUGAAGUGGGCUUGGAGUCUUUCAUAACUUACAAGUUCAUCUCAAACAUAG